ACAUCUGGGCUGCUAGCUGCAUGAAGGAGCUACCCGCUGUGGGUCUCCUCUUUGCUGACAGCUGGACACUUGACAGAAUGACCUGCCUGAACUCGGGACCUGCAGAAUGAUGGGACUGAAGAAGCUGUAACACAAACAGGGCUAAAACACGCACUCUCCUCCCCCUGCUCCCCACCGCCCCACCCACUUGCCACAUUGGAGGUGAUGAGAAGGAGAGAAGAGCUGUGGCCUUUCAGGGAGCAUAGUCCCAGGGGCUCCCUGAGCCAGGGCUGUGAAACCCUCUUCCGGGCACUGCAGUUCCUGGCAUCUCCAAACUUCUGAGUGCCACCGCAUUCCCCGCGUCCGGAUGCAGAAAUUGCCACAACCAUCUCCAGCUUUAGCAAUGACCAUCCUGAUCAGACAGUGGCCAUCCACAGUGAGGCAAGACCCUCUACCAGCAAAAUGAAUGCAACAUGCUAAAGGCUCAGGUCAAUGCACAGAAAGAAAUCUCUCUCCUGACUUUAGUACAAUGGCACGAUUGGUGGCCACAGUCCAAGGAU
RNAcentral lists this long non-coding RNA (539 nucleotides) under Homo sapiens (human). Its description in RNAcentral is "novel transcript". Lineage: Eukaryota; Metazoa; Chordata; Mammalia; Primates; Hominidae. The record is from RNAcentral.